AUGAAACCAAAGGUCUCAGCAUGCCCUGGGGCUGGGGGUGUUACCUAGUGAUCCUCUCUUCCCCAACAUGGGUGUGAGGUACCCUGCCAAUACAUUUGCACCAUUUCUCCAAGUCAGCAUUUCCCUUUCAUACAGUCUCUUUGCAGCAGAAUCCAUAGUUGGACUGUAGUUUACCUUCCUGGGAAACUCGUUAUCUUCAUUUGAAUUAACAUUUCCAUACAGGAUUAACUGGGUAGAAGCACGAACUAGGCAGGCCUUCAGAAAGUUCUUGUUGCCAUGGCUGCCUGGUACAAGAAACUACCUUGAUGUCAAAUCUUAAAAGGAUGGAGACCUUUGGUUGUAUGAGGCAGUGUUACUAUGUUCCAGCUUCACAUGAUCCCCAACCUGUGUAUUCCAUUUCCAUCUGAGUGGCUUUCAACCUUGAAGAUUGACAGGGAACCCAGGGUUCUGCCUAUGUCUGUUGACAUGAGAAGAAUUCAAUUUCUUUGCCCAAGGUUCCCCUCUGCCUGUUCCUCCACAUUCGGACAUCUUCCAUCGUACCAGUGUUUAGAACCAAAGCAUGAAGGACUAGUGCCAGCAAGAUAGUCAGCAGAAAUAUUAUCUCUAGAUCCUGGCAGAUGAGCCCAGAAAGGUAGUCCCAGAGAAACCAGACUGGCCCCGGUAGAUAUCAGGCAGCCAUCCCAAUAAGCUUUGACUUGUCCUUGGAAUGGGGAGCCUUGAUAGGAGAUCCUGGGGUAGCUGAGCCUGUUGUUCCCCUGCUCUCAAGAUCUUCCUGCCUGGAGGGCUGAGUAUGCCACUGGCUUGCUGGUAGGAAAUAGAAGGUGACUUUAAUAGGGGCCAGCAGGCAAGUGGCUUGUAUCUGGAAAGCUUUGCCUAGCAGUCCAGCUGUGGCCAGAGGCUGGUUACAAAUUUGAACUCCCUGACCCCAUCUGCAACUCUGCCUCUGUUCUCUUAUAUUCUGUUUGGUUUCCCUUUAGUUUCCUAGUAAAUGUUCCUUUUAAAAAAUUCCAACCUUGUUUCAUUUAACUUGGGGGGAAGGGGAGUGUCCAUUGUCUUUUCCAGGAUAGAGAAGGAAAUCAAAGUAUCAUCUUGGAAAAAAAAAAAAAUGGUAAUGUCAGUGGAAAGGGAUCCACCCUGGUUAGAUCUUCGGAACAGACCUUCAGAAAAGCUGGUUCCAAGAGAUGAGGAGAAACCAAUUGUCUCCCUCUGCCACCCGGCCCUGAUUCUGAGCCCAUUCCUCUUCCUGCCUUUGUCUUCAAGGAGACCUGUCUUGGAUGCCUGUUGCUGCAAAAGCGUCAUUGCAGCCAGUGAACUGGGCACAUUUCGCAGGCAAUGUGAUAUCCAGGAAGUACACUGGUGCCUGACGAGAGGAGAAAUAAUGGAGGGGAGGGAAAGGAGUAUUUCUACAGUGUGGAUAUUUUCAAAAUGCUCCAACAGUCAUGACUCUAAAUUGAAUUUAGAUUUAGCCCUCAUGGCCAUCAGUGGAACUACAUUUCAUAUGAAGAGAAGAAAGGCAUACUCUCAUACUUACGUCAACGAGACUGACAAAGAUAGAUAUGGGAAAUGUCUGGUUAUCUUCAUGGCCACCCUGUCCUCCGGUGGUGGGUGCUCCAAGUAUCUACUGCUGCACAGCAAAGCACUUCAAAGCUUAGUGGUUCAAAUAACAAGUCAUUAUCUUCCAUGA
Molecule: long non-coding RNA, 1684 nt
Filed under: Capra hircus (goat)
Lineage: Eukaryota; Metazoa; Chordata; Mammalia; Artiodactyla; Bovidae
Description: lncRNA (ENSCHIG00010024303.1)
Source: RNAcentral